GACGAACGCUGGCGGCGUGCUUAACACAUGCAAGUCGAACGGAAAGGCCCUGCUUUUGUGGGGUGCUCGAGUGGCGAACGGGUGAGUAACACGUGAGUAACCUGCCCUUGACUUUGGGAUAACUUCAGGAAACUGGGGCUAAUACCGGAUAGGAGCUCCUGCUGCAUGGUGGGGGUUGGAAAGUUUCGGCGGUUGGGGAUGGACUCGCGGCUUAUCAGCUUGUUGGUGGGGUAGUGGCUUACCAAGGCUUUGACUGGUAGCCGGCCUGAGAGGGUGACCGGCCCCAAUAGGACUACGAUACGCCCCAGACUCCUACGGGAGGCAGCAGUGGGGAAUAUUGCACAGUGGGCGGGAGCCUGAUGCAGCAACGCCGCGUGCGGGAUGACGGCCUUCGGGUUGUAAACCGCUUUCGCCUGUGACGAAGCGUGAGUGACGGUAAUGGGUAAAGAAGCACCGACUAACUACGUG
RNAcentral lists this ribosomal RNA (468 nucleotides) under uncultured bacterium. RNAcentral describes it as "partial 16S ribosomal RNA". It matches the Rfam family "Bacterial small subunit ribosomal RNA", at positions 28 to 507 of the family's 1533-position model. The record is from RNAcentral.